This is a long non-coding RNA of Gasterosteus aculeatus aculeatus (three-spined stickleback), 7294 nucleotides long. NCBI's taxonomy places the organism in Eukaryota, Metazoa, Chordata, Actinopteri, Perciformes, Gasterosteidae. The record is from Ensembl.
AUAUAUAUGCAUGUGCACAUAGCAAAUGUUUAUUUUAUUAUCUUUGUCCAGCCGUGUUGUCCUUUAUAUUAGCUGUAUUUCAAUUUCAGUGUACACAGAAUGCAAAACAAAAGAAAUCCUACACAAAAUGACCAAUAAAGGUGAUUCAAUCUUGUGCCCUAUUGUGGGCAUCUGAAAUAUAAUAAAAAUAAAAUAAUCACUUUAUUUUCGCAAUAAUUUAAUUCAUAAUGUAAGUAUUAGAGCAUGGCUCGUUCAUUGCAAUUCAACAAGGCUACAUAAAUAAUGGAAAUAACCUCAAGAUGUCACAUAACAGCAAUUGUUGUUGCUAGGCAACAGUGGCUGGUUAGAAAUGGCACACAUGAAGAUGAAAACUAAUUUGUGGUUUGAGACCAGCUUUAUAUUGACAAACAACUUUAUUGUAGCCAAUGGAGCAGAGCCGUAUACUCUGUAGGCCUCUAGUCCAGCAAGAGGAACACCUGAGCACAGCAAGGAACCGUUUAAUGAUUUUUCUGUUUACUGAAGUUUAGAUGAAUGCCCACGAACCAUGGAUGCAAAUUAAGAAUGAGACCACUGAUUAACCGCAACUGACACAACGACGAAAGAUAAGCACAGUCCUUUAACGAUACACGUCAACCACAGCAAUACACUUUGUAGAUUCGUUCCUAACACGCUUUCUAACAAGUCUCGUCAGUCAACCUUAAAUGACAUUGAUAACAUUUUCUGUACAUAAAAGUACAAAUGGAGAAUAUGAUAUGGUUCACUUUCAUUGGUUUUUACUUCAUGAUGACCAAUUGGCUGAACCUGCUUCUGCAGAUUAGACCCAGGAUGUGAACACUGAAUUGUCGUCUGUGUGGAUCUGUAUGAGAUUUACAGAGACACCAAACAACACAGACCAAGUGAGAAUCAUAUUUUUGUUGAACAGGUUCAAGCUAAAGCAGUUUAUUAGAUAUUGGGAAAGACUUGUAAUUAGCUGUCUAAUGUUUAAAUAGAACAAUAUACUAUAAUUAUUUUUUCAGAUUAUACCAAAGAGCACAAGGACAUUUUGCUUGGAGCUAUUGACUUCUACAUACUGAUUUCUACCUACUGUGAUCAGAAACUCUCCCUUUGCACACGACCACCGAUGGAUUACCAGUCGGAUUGCUUACAGUUCAACCGUGGAGGUCAUUGUGUGAUUCUCAAAGGUUCUAAGUGAUAAAGUAAGAUACUGUGUCUUGCCUUCAGGUGCAUUCCACGAAAAGUAACCAUUCACCUGUACAUUUUCUAUACUAGUUCCCAUUAAAACAUCAAAUGCUGUCCAGUCUGACUUACUUUGGUGAUGCCUGAUGAAACUUGAAGCCAAAUCAGACGUUCGAAGUGACCACAUGUCCCACCGCUAACCUGGUAGACCUGUCCUAUUACACCAAUGCCAUGUUCUUAUUUUCAUCAACCACAUACACUUCUAGAAUAUAAUCAUACAUUGCAUGCAUAUAUAAGGCUGAAUUUAAGAUUUUAAAAACUGUCAAAAUUUAAACUAGUAAGAUCAUCCCCGCUGCAUUGUCAUUUUCACCUUCAGCGUCUUUGCUGGAGAGACAACAGACAUCCCACAAUUUCAUUUCUGUUAAUUGAAAAAAUUGAAGUGGAGCAACAAGAGUUUUUCAUCAUGAUGUUGCGAAGAACCAGCUGCCAGCUGCAUUGCAAGUCUGUAAUGCAAUCAGCUGCUUUGUGGAGACAGCUAAUAUCCCUCGAUUGGUCAAAACAUGCAUCCUUUUUCUCAGACGGCAUGAUGCGCCAACCAUCCCCCCCAUGCAUUCAAUCUCUGGUAGGUUUUUAUAUGCACUAUGUAAAUAUGUGUUGUUCAUUACGGAGACAGCAACAGAGAGGAGAACAGCUCUUAACGUUAAACCGCACCAACGCCAUUGGUUUACGGAAACGGUGGCCCCGCCCCCAAUCAGCUUAUUGCGCACCCAGAGACUCCCCAGUAGUCCUGACUGAAUUUACACCUAAGCUUCACAUAACUGUUGGAAGAUCAGAAGUGAAUUUUUGACAUUAGGAUUGUCUUGAAGGAAAAUGAAAAUGCAAUGUGAGGUAAUGUCUUUCAGGCAGUGUUUUAAGUUGAUAAACCUAUCAAAGACUUAAAAUCCCAUUGCAGAUGUAAUUAUGUGUGUGUGUGUGUGUGUGUGUGUGUGUGUGUGUGUGUGUGUGUGUGUGUGUGUGUGUGUGUGUGUGUGAUAGUCUGCAGACAAAAUUAUGAAUAACAUAUAUGGCAUACUUUUAAGUGGUGUUUACUACAAAAAACACAAUUUACUUUGUUCCUUUCUCAGGAAGAAGCAUUUGUUGGGGCAGUAUAUAAUUGAGUCUAGCGGUGCAUGGACUUUCUACAGCUCCAAUCUGUCUAAGCACAGCUAUUGCUUUCUCUGCAGGACCUGACUUUCUUUUGACGACUGCCUCACAACAGUCGCAAAAUGUGAGAGAUCUCGAUGAAAGCAGAAUGUAAUUAUUAGUGUGGUCGUUUUAGGAUGGGGGCAGGAUCUUUACACGGUUCAGCAAACAACACGCUCUUACUUUCAAGGGCAAUUAUUUCAACCCCCCAGUCAGGCCCCGUCCUACCCUGAAUGUAUGGAUGGAUUGGAAUUUGACUGUUGUACAAGUUAUCCAACAAUCUAAUUAUACAUACAACCUAUUGUUAUACUGUAGAUAUUCCUUUUCCUGCAGCAAUAUUAAUACAAUAUUUAGAGCAGAAUACAUGCAAGAACAUAUGUGAUAUGUUCACCUUUUUUAUUUCUGCUAAACUAUAAAGAAAUCAUUUCUAGGAAUUAUCUUGAGGACUGAGGAUGGAAACAUUUCUCCAACUUCAUGUUUUCUGAUUGUAAAGGAUUUUUAGUGUAUUUCUUUGCUGGUAAAUGGAUAUUUUUCCGACCUGAGAGCUGUUCUUUGAUGCCUGUGGCUCAUCCAGACUUUUGACAUUCCAAUUCAACUACUUACACAUUGGUGCACAAAUACCUGGAAAUCCUAGGUUUAGGAGAAAACUGAAACUAACAAGAUGUACCGAUAACUAUAACACGCUUCUCAAUAAAGAAGAUUGCCGUCCUUUAAACCGUAGAUCAACUUGGAAGUGAAUCCCCCCGUGGUUUUCAGACUUUGUUUUUUAGUAGUGUCUAAUUAAUGAGGUUAAUACAAUGAUGGGUUGAUGGAUUUGCUAAUAAUUUGAGGAAAUGGGGAGGUAAGAGAAGCAAGAUGAUAUGCUAAUGAUGUAUUUGUGCUGUUAGAUAAAUGAGACCAGCUGAUCUAAUCAGUUGAUGUUAUGAUUGACAGCCCCAAACAAUGACAAUGGCGCACUAGCCUAGGCAUACAAUAGUAUAGUCUUCCAGACUGAACUCAAACUAGAGGUUCAUGAAAUCGUGGACCGUGGGAACCACCAUGAACUUCUGCACCUCAACGAACCCGUUUGGUUGUAAAAGAGCAGUCUUAUCGCUACCGCUGAGCAACUCUAAUAAUAAAUGUGAUCUUGCGGUUUCCUGUAUCAGCAAUUUUCUUCUUUUGUUCACUACCCAAAGCCUAUGACCAUAUGUGAGGGUCAGAACAGAGAUGUUCAAGUAAAUGGAGAGCGUUGCCUUCCAACUCAGCGCCCUCUUCAUCAACGGUCCGCUGCAAUGCAUGGCAUUACUUCAUAAGGAACACAGGACAGCCUCCACUUUACCCUCACUUGUGCAAACCCCGAUACACUUAGACUCCUUUGCUUGGGGCAGUCACACUGAAUACACUAUUAGUAAUACUUAAAAUAGCUCUGUAGAAGAAGAACUCGUUUGGAUAGGAACUUAAGACAGACAGCAAAAGGACAACGCUGAGGAAAUGAUUUCGAUGCACCCAAUAUCCAGACAGAUUGCUUAAUCAACCCUUGCACCAAAACAAAGCAUGAUCACAAUCACUUUAAUAGGAGACAUUAUAAUUUAACCGCCCAAACCAAACAGCCUAAAACAAACUCCUGCCGCAGGUUCCUCAUCUGUGAGUAAUGACUCAACUUUAGCAAGAUCGAUUCUUUAGCUUCUUUUAUUCAACAGUAUAUACAUAAUAGCAAAAACGUGAAGACACUGCCAUUGCAUCAGGAAAGUAAACACAUUGUCGGACUAAACUGAACUAAAUCAUUAUUCUUUUAUUCAAAAAAAUGAAUUUCUGCCCCCACAAGAUUAAUGAUACAUUAAUAUUGUCCCUCGUCUAUUGAAGAAAACCACCUUGAAACUACUUUGGUGGACUCUGGAGUAUGUGCAGCCAUACUUUAUACCUUAAUCAUUUUUAUUUACAUGUACUUUAGAUUUGUUACCUAAAGUAGAUGUAAGGAAGCACAAGUAAGAAGAAAACAUCUGAAUCGGUCCAUCCAUAUCCUCACUUUUUUUGAUGAUUGUCACAAUGGCAGCAGUGAGAGCAGGGAAGCCAAAGCUGCUUUUAUCCCAGCAGCUUGUUUCUUGCUCCUGGAGAGGAGCUUUUCCAGGUCAGCUGAAAUAUGAAUUCCUCACAGUGCGCUCUCCACCAUAACUGCCCCUGCUGUAAAUCAGUUGCGCCUUUGUAACGAUGUGUUUACAGGACGCACAGUGCACAUCAAAGGCAAAGCUCUAUUCAACACAAAAUGAUAAUAUCAGCUAACAGGGAUACCAUCCUAAUUUUACCAAACUUGACAAUGUCUAAACCUUUGUAGUCAUUUGAUAUCUCAUCCAUGAAAGUCAGAACCAAGAAAAGUGGAAGCCUUGGGAGAGCCCACUGUCUACAGUCAAAGUUUGUAUUAAUAGGGUUUUCAAUGGUUUCAAAGAAUCAAGGGGCAUAUAAACAAACUUAUAAACAUUUUUCCAUGUAUGAAAAAUAGAGUAAAUCAUGAAAUCUCUUCUAACAUGAUUUGCAACAAUAAAUUACCAAAUAAUGAUAAUAAUUCCCUUUUGGAAAAACUUCCAAAUUUGGCAGCAUCGCCGUUUCAUUAUUAUAAAAGAAAUUUGGACCAAUUGAAUGAAUAAAAUGGAAGCAGGUAAUUAUAGAUACUUUAUAAUUACAAACCCUCCUUUUUUAGGUAACAUAUAAUUAAACCUUGGUGCUGAUAAAUAUAUAUUCCACUACAGUCUUUUAUUACACACCCUGCAUCUUCUUACAUUUGUUGUGCAGGCAGCUCACAGCAACCAACUAAAAGCAAUUGUAUUCAUUUCAUAUAUUAGUCCCUCAGGCCUGUUUGGCUGCAAGACCUCAAUAAUAGUGUAACACUAAAGGAUUAUUUUUUAGCAUCACUGGUGAGAUGCAUAAUGACAGGAACAUGAGCAUAAUAUGGAAGUUCCAAUAUUACACUUUCAUUGCAGAGCCAAUUUUCAUGAUCCAACAACUUUGUGCUCCAUUGUCUUUGGGUGACAGAAGCCACAGAUAUAAAGUAAGUGUUGUAGAAACACCACAAUUUAGCACAACAGCAAUAGUUAUUAUUUCGAGAUCAUGGAUGGCAUUUUUAUUUCAUGUUAUAUACAUCUUGAGUUGAUGUAAUUUGACUAAAAAUGAUAUUACCGUAUUUGCAUUCACCUUUUAAUAACAGACAAUGCAGUGCAUGCAUUUUCAACUCAAGUCAGAGAAUAACUUGUUUGAUAUAUUUUCAUGUCUUGCAACAAUCGUGCUGACUGCUCCCCCCUCAAUCGCAUUCAAGUCACCAAAAUGACCGCUCCAAAAAUGGCAUGUUGGUUUUUCGAUCUGGAACUUUAAUAUUUGAUUAAGUUUCUGCUGAACAACAUGUUCAGGGCUAUAUUGAACAAUGAAUUAUUUUAAUUUGCCGUGGGUUUGUCCCAACAAGCAAUAUAUUGUGUAGCAUUUCAGCUCAGUAAUGCAUUGCAUGCAUUAUUUUUUCAGAGAGAGAGCAACUGCAUUAGUUCACUUUACCCUCUUGAAUUUCAUAGAUACAUUUGUGUUCAUGUACUUUGUGUCAUACCCGUCUACUGUUAAUAAACCCUCUAAAAUUCUAAGAACCAAAAGAGUUCCCACAUCUAAUCCGUUGCUCGAAAUAGCCAAGCUCCAAAGGCAGGGAUGCCGGCAGAACUUGCUUGUUUUGUUCCACGACAUUCACCAAACAAAAGCUGGAAAAAUAAGCCCGUCUUCCUUAACGGGGGAAACAAAAAAUUAGGAAAUCUUCCAAGAGGUGCCAGAAGGAUCUGUCUCUCGUUCCCUUCCAGCUCCCUGCUGUGACUUGGAGGGGGUUUUCUGGGGAAAACAACGGUGCUGUCAAGAGCUAGUGCAGUGAGUGCUACAGGCCAAAUAGAGGAGGAAGCGUCACUUAAUGUAAGGGCAGGGAUUAGAGAGACUGAUUAUGCCUCUGAGGGGAGAGCAGAACAAAGUAAAUGAGUGAGAGUAAAUUUGACUGUGUGCAUGCAUUUCCAAUAGGCCUCCUUGGGUUUGCUACACACUCAUACAUGAUAGUAUAUCAUAGUGUAAAAGUGAAUAAAACGUUUUUUGCUCCCAAAUGUUCACAUUCCUACAUAUAAAUAUAUCACCCAACACCAUGGCAAUAUCAAAACCAAGUUCUGACAAAACAUUUUUAGGUUGACAAAUGUUGAAUUCAUUACAACUUGACUAAAACAACUCAAAAAUAAAUAGAGAUUUAUUUAGCAACAUAUAUAUGAAUGUAUGUUUAAUAGGUGUAUAGAGAUCCCCUUUAAACAAUCUAUUCAAAGCAAAUAAAUGUUGCCAGGAAUAAAUGACCAGCAAAAUGUCUUGCUGCCACUGAUAUGCCUAAAUGGUGCCUCAGGGGGAAAUGUCAUUUUGAUGUGCGGUCAAAAUUUUUAAACCAAAAAACACAAUUGGAAAUUAAUCAAAUGUUUUAUUAAAAAACACAAUUUCUCAAAUACAAGAAGUGUUCCAGGUUCCAUAUUGUUACAUGCCAGACGGGGACUGUCUGCAUGUGUUCUUGUCUUGUCUCCCUCCUGCUCAUUUGUUUCUCUCCCCCAGUGAUUACGCUGAUUGGCCAACUCCAAACACAGGUGGAAAGCAAUCAGCAGUUCCGGUGGCAGUCCAUAAAGGAAGACUCCUGAGAAGUGAAAAGGGGGUGUGUUCUGCGCUGCGGGCUGGUGGCCAGCCUCCUGUCCGUGAGCUUUAGCUGUCUAGUAGCAAAACUGGAGUUUUGUAAGGUGGAGGUUGUGGACCUUAGUAAGUUGGGGUACCCUGUACAUUUUUGCACGUAGGUAUACCUUUGUAUAGAUACACCAGGUGUAGUGGUUGUUGCCUCCUGUGUAACGUUUUCCUUUUGUCCUUUUUUUAGAGAAGCAGGUAAGGUAUUUUGUUUGACUUGUUUUGGAUGGUGAGCUAG